UAUAGAAGGAAACGAAAUGAAUGAAGUUCAUUUUCAAUAAAUGUUUCCGACGACUAGCCGCUGACCCAAGGGAGGGGGCAAUACAUACU
Eubacterium sp. CAG:156 is the source of this 89-nucleotide small RNA. It matches the Rfam family "GA-cis RNA". The record is from Rfam. Lineage: Bacteria; Bacillati; Bacillota; Clostridia; Eubacteriales; Eubacteriaceae.